GAUGAACGCUGGCGGCGUGCCUAAUACAUGCAAGUCGAGCGAACAGAUAAGGAGCUUGCUCCUUUGACGUUAGCGGCGGACGGGUGAGUAACACGUGGGUAACCUACCUAUAAGACCGGGAUAACUUCGGGAAACCGGAGCUAAUACCGGAUAACAUUUGGAACCGCAUGGUUCUAAAGUGAAAGAUGGUUUUGCUAUCACUUAUAGAUGGACCCGCGCCGUAUUAGCUAGUUGGUAAGGUAACGGCUUACCAAGGCGACGAUACGUAGCCGACCUGAGAGGGUGAUCGGCCACACUGGAACUGAGACACGGUCCAGACUCCUACGGGAGGCAGCAGUAGGGAAUCUUCCGCAAUGGGCGAAAGCCUGACGGAGCAACGCCGCGUGAGUGAUGAAGGGUUUCGGCUCGUAAAACUCUGUUAUUAGGGAAGAACAAAUGUGUAAGUAACUGUGCACGUCUUGACGGUACCUAAUCAGAAAGCCACGGCUAACUACGUG
This 497-nucleotide ribosomal RNA is filed under the name uncultured bacterium. RNAcentral's name for it is "partial 16S ribosomal RNA". It matches the Rfam family "Bacterial small subunit ribosomal RNA", at positions 28 to 507 of the family's 1533-position model. The record is from RNAcentral.